This 253-nucleotide ribosomal RNA is filed under the name uncultured bacterium. RNAcentral describes it as "partial 16S ribosomal RNA". It matches the Rfam family "Bacterial small subunit ribosomal RNA", at positions 524 to 776 of the family's 1533-position model. The record is from RNAcentral.
UACGGAGGGAGCUAGCGUUGUUCGGAAUUACUGGGCGUAAAGCGCACGUAGGUGGCUUUGUAAGUUAGAGGUGAAAGCCCGGAGCUCAACUCCGGAAUUGCCUUUAAGACUGCAUCGCUAGAAUUGUGGAGAGGUGAGUGGAAUUCCGAGUGUAGAGGUGAAAUUCGUAGAUAUUCGGAAGAACACCAGUGGCGAAGGCGACUCACUGGACACAUAUUGACGCUGAGGUGCGAAAGCGUGGGGAGCAAACAGG